This is a long non-coding RNA of Topomyia yanbarensis, 715 nucleotides long. RefSeq lists it as uncharacterized. The transcript is spliced from 3 exons. The record is from RefSeq and is a predicted model, not a curated record. NCBI's taxonomy places the organism in Eukaryota, Metazoa, Arthropoda, Insecta, Diptera, Culicidae.
UUUAAUUUCCAUUUUUUCAUCAACUUUGCACUCGCUCGCACAAAAGUUUGUGGGCUAGUUUUUGUAGGGUUUUGACGGCUUAUACGCAAUGCAAAAUACAUUGCAUGCAACGCAAAAUACAUUUUGAAUUUCUGUUUUGAUGGAAAGAAAUGCAUUUAAUUUCGCUGAUUUUCAAAAUGCAUCACAAGUGAUCUGCCUGAUCCCUAACGAUCAAGGUAGGCCUUGAUUUUCAUGAUCUAUUCAUUUUUCAUUUAACACUUGUCAGAACAGGAACGUUAUACCAAACAGUUUUGGUUCGGUGGACAAGCUAACUGGCUGAUCGACGGUUGCAGGACUUGAAGGGACCCGCCCUUACACGAUUUGCUGCUCAUCAAGUCACAUCGAUCUCAAGUUUUCAAGAAGGUCAAGAUCUUUCAAACGUUCCAGCUCAAUCUGCCCGUACAAAUUUUACGUCUUAUUGAAGACAGACAGUUUUGUAUUAAUCAUCUGCGUAGCAGUAUUUACAAAAGGAAAGUGCUCCAGAAUCAACAAAACGAUUGAAAAAAGAGUUCCAUCGAAGCUUGGUUUAGCGAUUGCGAAGACGAGAAGGCUAGUGAUUUAGCUGUUCGAAGAAGAAGGAUUCGCGAUGCAUCCAAUCCAUUGGAUUUGCCAGAUGAAACCUUUGUACAGUACUUCCGUGUGUCCAAAGACCUAUUUUUGUAAACAUAAACAUCCG